RNAcentral lists this non-coding RNA (46 nucleotides) under Schistosoma mattheei. The record is from RNAcentral. Lineage: Eukaryota; Metazoa; Platyhelminthes; Trematoda; Strigeidida; Schistosomatidae.
GCGCUGCUGAGGAGUCCAAAAAUAGAAUGAAACGGCCGUCUAGUGC